GAUGAAGAACGUAGCGAAAUGCGAUAAGUAAUGUGAAUUGCAGAAUUCAGUGAAUCAUCGAAUCUUUGAACGCACCUUGCGCUCCUUGGUAUUCCGAGGAGCAUGCCUGUUUGAGUGUCAUGAAAUUCUCAACCUUUUCAGCUUUCUUUGUUGAUCAGGCUUGAAUGUGGGAGUAUGCGGGCUUCUCAGAAGUCGGCUCUCCUGAAAUGCAUUAGCGGGACCUUUGUUGCCUGGCUUUGGUGUGAUAAUUAUCUACGCCAUUGUAGUCAAGCAGCUUAAAAUGAGGUUUCAGCUUCUAACCGUCUCCCCUGAGACAACUUUUUGACAAUUUGACCUCAAAUCAGGUAGGACUACCCGCUGAACUUAAGCAUAUCAAUAAGCGGAGGA
This 387-nucleotide unclassified non-coding RNA is filed under the name soil metagenome. Its description in RNAcentral is "partial contains 5.8S ribosomal RNA, internal transcribed spacer 2, and large subunit ribosomal RNA". The stretch from base 1 to 120 matches the Rfam family "5.8S ribosomal RNA", at positions 35 to 154 of the family's 154-position model. The record is from RNAcentral.